GAGGAUGUAGCUCAGUUGGUAGAGUGCUUGCCUCACGUGCACCAGUUCCUGAGUUCAAUUCCUAGCACCAUCC
Molecule: transfer RNA, 73 nt
Filed under: Ictidomys tridecemlineatus (thirteen-lined ground squirrel)
Lineage: Eukaryota; Metazoa; Chordata; Mammalia; Rodentia; Sciuridae
Description: Spermophilus tridecemlineatus (thirteen-lined ground squirrel) tRNA
Rfam family: tRNA
About the family: Transfer RNA (tRNA) molecules are approximately 80 nucleotides in length.
Source: Rfam by way of RNAcentral